RNAcentral lists this ribosomal RNA (253 nucleotides) under uncultured bacterium. RNAcentral describes it as "partial 16S ribosomal RNA". It matches the Rfam family "Bacterial small subunit ribosomal RNA", at positions 524 to 776 of the family's 1533-position model. The record is from RNAcentral.
UACGAAGGGGGCAAGCGUUGUUCGGAAUUACUGGGCGUAAAGCGCGCGUAGGCGGCUUGCCAAGUCAGGCGUGAAAUCCCCGGGCUCAACCUGGGAGCUGCGCUUGAUACUGGUUGGCUUGAAUGCGGGAGAGGAUAGUGGAAUUCCCAGUGUAGAGGUGAAAUUCGUAGAUAUUGGGAAGAACACCGGUGGCGAAGGCGGCUAUCUGGACUGUGAUUGACGCUGAGGCGCGAAAGCGUGGGGAGCAAACAGG